GGCUGCGGGUGCUGGGGCCGCUGUGCCGGCGGCGGUUCCCCAAGUGGAGGUCCGUCCUGGGUGGGGAGGCACGGAAGGUCGCUGGUUCGAUGCGGAGGAAGAAACCACACCUAGCACUUAAAGCCCUGACAAAAUAGAGAUGUACAGUAGAGUUUUCCAGAGGCUACAUGACAUGCAGUAUCACAACGGAAGCAAAUAUAAGAAUCCACCUGUCUCCUAUUAAAAUGCAAAAUGUAAAACAGUACCACUUUCCUAACUGUUUUUGUUUGUGGAAAUAUAGUUCAUAAAAAUAUUUACAUUAACAUGUAAUUUAGGUUAAAAUAAAUUAAUAAAUAUUUGUAAAUUG
Molecule: long non-coding RNA, 346 nt
Organism: Symphalangus syndactylus (siamang)
Lineage: Eukaryota; Metazoa; Chordata; Mammalia; Primates; Hylobatidae
Source: RefSeq, a predicted model, not a curated record